Molecule: ribosomal RNA, 2468 nt
Filed under: human gut metagenome
Description: bacterial LSU rRNA
Rfam family: Bacterial large subunit ribosomal RNA
Source: RNAcentral
AGAGCGCAAGGGGAAUGCCUUGGCAUCAGGAGCCGACGAAGGACGUGACAAGCUGCGAUAAGCUGCGGUGAGCUGCACAUAAGCUUUGACCCGCAGAUUUCCGAAUGGGGAAACCCGGCAGAGCAAUACUCUGUCAGCGUGCGUUGAAUCAAAUAGGCGUACGCGGGGAACCGCCUGAACUGAAACAUCUAAGUAGGGCGAGGAAGAGAAAUCAACCGAGAUUCCGCUAGUAGUGGCGAGCGAACGCGGAAGAGGGCAAACCGGAGGAUUUAUCCUCCGGGGUUGUGGACAGUUUUUUAGCAACUGGAACUAGGAGAACGGUAUGGGAAGGCCGGCCAUAGCGGGUGAUAGCCCCGUAUCCGAAAGGGAAGGUUGUGCGACUGGAUCCAGAGUACCGCCGGACACGUGAAACCCGGUGGGAAGCUGGGGGGACCACCCUCCAACCCUAAAUACUACCUGAUGACCGAUAGAGGAGCAGUACCGUGAGGGAAAGGUGAAAAGGACCCCGGGAGGGGAGUGAAAGAGAACCUGAAACCUUGUGCUUACAAGCACUCAAAGCCCGUUAAAGGGUGAUGAGGUACCUUUUGUAGAAUGGUCCGGCGAGUUAUUGUUACUGGCAAGCUUAAGGCAUUCAGUGCCGGAGGCGCAGGGAGACCGAGUCUGAAUAGGGCGUAUGAAGUCAGUGGCAAUAGACCCGAAACCGGGUGACCUAUCCAUGGGCAGGUUGAAGUGGGGGUAAAACCCCAUGGAGGACCGAACGCACGCCCGUUGCAAUGGUCGGCGAUGACCUGUGGAUAGCGGUGAAAUUCCAAUCGAACUCGGAGAUAGCUGGUUCUCCCCGAAAUAGCUUUAGGGCUAGCGUCGAGGUAAAGUCGUGUGAAGGUAGAGCACUGAAUAUGUGAUGGCCCCAUCUCGGGGUACUGAACAUAAUCAAACUCCGAAUGUCACAAAGAUAUACUCGGCAGUCAGACAGUGGGUGAUAAGGUCCAUUGUCAAAAGGGAAACAGCCCAGACCAUCAGCUAAGGUCCCAAAAUAUAUACUAAGUGGAAAAGGAUGUGGAGAUGUCCAGACAACUAGGAGGUUGGCUCAGAAGCAGCCAUCCUUUAAAGAGUGCGUAACAGCUCACUAGUCGAAUGACUCUGCGCCGAUAAUUUACCGGGGCUAAGUAUAUUACCGAAGCUAUGGAUUUACGCGUAAGCGUGAGUGGUAGGGGAGCGUUCUAUGUGCGGAGAAGCGGUACCGUAAGGAGCCGUGGAGCGCAUAGAAGAGAGAAUGCCGGUGUGAGUAGCGAAACGUGGGUGAGAAUCCCACGCACCGAAAACCCAAGGUUUCCAGAGGAAGGUUCGUCCGCUCUGGGUAAGUCGGGACCUAAGGCGAGGCCGAGAGGCGUAGUCGAUGGACAACAGGUAGAGAUUCCUGUACUUACGGUAUGAAUGAUGGAGUGACGGAGAAGGCUAGCGGAUCCUGCUGAUGGAAAUGCAGGUGCAAGCGAGGUAGCCGACAGCCAGGCAAAUCCGGCUGUCGAAAGGCAAAGGCGUGAGGCGUAUGGAAAGCUGCGGCAAGUACAGAAGUCCGUGAAGCCAGCUUCCAAGAAAAGCUUCUAGUGAUAAUCAUACAGUAACCCGUACCGAAAAUGGACACACAUGGGUGAGGAGAGAAUCCUAAGGUGAGCGAGAGAACUAUAGCUAAGGAACUCUGCAAAAUGACUCCGUAACUUAGGGAUAAGGAGUGCUCAUAGAGAUAUGAGCCGCAGUGAAACGGCCCAAGCGACUGUUUACCAAAAACACAGCUCUAUGCUAAGUCGAAAGACGACGUAUAUGGGGUGACGCCUGCCCGGUGCUGGAAGGUUAAGAGGAUGUGUCAGCGCAAGCGAAGCAUUGAAUUGAAGCCCCAGUAAACGGCGGCCGUAACUAUAACGGUCCUAAGGUAGCGAAAUUCCUUGUCAGGUAAGUUCUGACCCGCACGAAAGGCGUAACGAUUUGGGCGCUGUCUCAGCUGUAGACUCGGUGAAGUCUUAGUACCUGUGAAGAUGCAGGUUACCCGCGACUAGACGGAAAGACCCCAUGGAGCUUUACUGUAGCUUGAUAUUGGACUUUGAUGCAAGAUGUACAGGAUAGGUAGGAGACUGAGAGACAUGCACGCCAGUGUGUGAGGAGUCAAUGUUGGGAUACUACUCUUCUUGUAUUGGAGUUCUAACCGGAUGCCAUGGAACUGGCAACGGGACAGUGUCAGGUGGGCAGUUUGACUGGGGCGGUCGCCUCCCAAAGAGUAACGGAGGCGCCCAAAGAUACCCUCAGCUUGGAUGGAAAUCAAGCGCAGAGUGCAAAGGCAUAAGGGUGUUUGACUGCGAGACCUACAAGUCGAGCAGGGACGAAAGUCGGGCUUAGUGAUCCGGCGGUGCUGAAUGGAAAGGCCGUCGCUCAACGGAUAAAAGCUACCCUGGGGAUAACAGGCUGAUCUCCCCCAA